This is a long non-coding RNA of Choloepus didactylus (southern two-toed sloth), 703 nucleotides long. RefSeq lists it as uncharacterized. Lineage: Eukaryota; Metazoa; Chordata; Mammalia; Pilosa; Megalonychidae. The transcript is spliced from 2 exons. The record is from RefSeq and is a predicted model, not a curated record.
UGACUUUCCUAUCUUGCCUUCUCCGGCCUGUUAGUAAUUCCUCUAUUUCCUGUGAUAAAACGAAGCUAAUAAAUAUGAUGUGGAACAAAUGGAGGCAAUCUUUGCCAACUAGGCUCUGAGUGCCCUGCUCCCAUCUUUGCUGCGACUGUUAUUCUGUUUCUUAAGUUCUGUGUUGCCUCCUGACAACAAGUGGCGUCCAACGUGGGGCACAAAUAGUUUGGGAGAAGGCUCGCAGCAAGCAAAUUUGUGGUUACAAUAUCGGCGCAGGACCUCGGGUGGAACUUGGAGGCCUUCUACGUCCUCAAAGUCCCCAGAUGCACGAGACAAACCGUCUAUGAACUAAUGCAAAAGGAAACAGCUUGCUCAGUUUUCUUCUCCAUACAAAAACAAAAAGGGGGAAAUGUGGGAAAACGGCCUGAGCUUGGAAUGCAUCCUUGACAUACUCAAGGGUGUUGACACUGGAACACCAAGUCCUGCCGGGAUGGAACACUGUCCAGGGCAGCACCCGCACUGUUUAUGCAAGCAGCAUGCAAGUCUCGAAUGACCUCUCCCUGACUUCCCUAUCUUGCCUUCUCCGGUCUGUUAGUAAUUCCUUUAUUUCCUGUCAUAAAAUGAAGCUAAUAAACAUGAUAUGGAACAAAUGGAGGCACUCUUUGCCAACUAGGCUCUGAGUGCCCUGCUCCCAUCUUUGCUGCAACUGUUA